Molecule: ribosomal RNA, 443 nt
Filed under: uncultured bacterium
Lineage: Bacteria
Description: partial 16S ribosomal RNA
Rfam family: Bacterial small subunit ribosomal RNA
Source: RNAcentral
CCUACGGGUGGCAGCAGUGGGGAAUAUUGGGCAAUGGGCGCAAGCCUUACCCAGCAAUACCGCGUGAGUGAAGAAGGUCUUCGGAUUGUAAAGCUCUUUGAUCAGGGACGAACAGAUGACGGUACCUGAAGAACAAGCCCCGGCUAACUACGUGCCAGCAGCCGCGGUAAAACGUAGGGGGCGAGCGUUGUCCGGAAUGACUGGGCGUAAAGGGUGCGUAGGCGGCAUAAUAAGUUAGAAGUGAAAUACCCAGAGCUUAACUCGGGUGCUGCUUCUAAGACUGUUGAGCUUGAGUGCGGGAGAGGUUAAUGGAAUUCCUAGUGUAGCGGUGAAAUGCUUAGAUAUCACGAAGAACUCCGAUUGCGAAGGCAGUUCACUGGACUGCAACUGACACUGAGGCUCGAAAGUGUGGGUAUCAAACAGGAUUAGAUACCCCAGUAGUC